GAUGAACGCUGGCGGCGUGCCUAAUACAUGCAAGUCGAGCGAACGGACGAGAAGCUUGCUUCUCUGAUGUUAGCGGCGGAAGGGUGAGUAACACGUGGAUAACCUACCUAUAAGACUGGGAUAACUUCGGGAAACCGGAGCUAAUACCGGAUAAUAUUUUGAACCGCAUGGUUCAAAAGUGAAAGACGGUCUUGCUGUCACUUAUAGAUGGAUCCGCGCUGCAUUAGCUAGUUGGUAAGGUAACGGCUUACCAAGGCAACGAUGCAUAGCCGACCUGAGAGGGUGAUCGGCCACACUGGAACUAAGACACGGUCCAGACUCCUACGGGAGGCAUCAGUAGGGAAUCUUCCGCAAUGGGCAAAAGCCUGACGGAGCAACGCCGCGUGAGUGAUGAAGGUCUUCGGAUCGUAAAACUCUGUUAUUAGGGAAGAACAUAUGUGUAAGUAACUGUGCACAUCUUGACGGUACCUAAUCAGAAAGCCACGGCUAACUACGUG
RNAcentral lists this ribosomal RNA (497 nucleotides) under uncultured bacterium. RNAcentral describes it as "partial 16S ribosomal RNA". It matches the Rfam family "Bacterial small subunit ribosomal RNA", at positions 28 to 507 of the family's 1533-position model. The record is from RNAcentral.